This 1008-nucleotide long non-coding RNA is filed under the name Bos grunniens (domestic yak). RNAcentral's name for it is "lncRNA (ENSBGRG00000002138.1)". The record is from RNAcentral. Lineage: Eukaryota; Metazoa; Chordata; Mammalia; Artiodactyla; Bovidae.
AUGACACAUCUUUCAGGGUUGGACAGGAGAACCAGUGCCAUUAUUACUGUCCUGAAAAAAAUGAGUUCGUACCAUUCACAGUACAGCUCCUCUUUUCAGCUGGGAGUUAAAGACAGAUUUCCAAGUUUCACGGGAGCAUCAUUAGCAAAUUCAAUGAGAGAUCAACCAUGGAGGACGUGGAGGAAGAACAAAAAACCUUAGAUACUUAACUAUAAAUUGUAACUGUAAAGAAUAUAGUUAAGUAUCUGAUCAACCCAGACUACUCACAGAAGCACAUGAUAUUGGCCAGGGUUGAUGUGGGAGUAUGCUGAAAGCUGACUUGAAAAUUUUUCACAGACAGAUUUCUUUAAUAGACUCAAACUUGCUAAUGCAGUCCAAGAGGCUGUUACUGUAAGCAUCCUUGAUGAUCAGUGGGCAUCUCAAUGUGGUUGAAUGUCCUCAAGAUUUUUCUCCCUGAGAUUUUCUGAUGAGCCUGUUAAAAAUCCAUGAACAGCCAGGCUGUGAAUGGUGAGCAGCAGGUGCUAAGAUAACUUGGGCUAUAGAGUGAGAGAAAAUCUUUUGUUCCCACCAUCAUGAGGUGUUAAGGUUAUAAAACUUGGAGCUGAAAAUCAGUCAACAAUAACAAAAACCUGCUGCACUAACCAAAAUAGAUUCUAUAUGUGAAAAAGAAAAUUAUUUUUUCUCACUCAGUUUGUGCUCCAAGGGGAAAAAAACACAGGAAAUACUGGGUGAGUGUUGCAACUAUCUGCAGUUAAUGGUAAUGCUAAAUGGAACACUAUUAUUUUAAGUAAUUACAAAGACUUUUCAAAAGGCUUCAAUAAUGGUUUCAGUAAUUUUUAACCCUAGCUUUGGAUUGCAAAUACAGAAUACCAGACCACCUGAUCUGCCUCUUGAGAAACCUGUAUGCAGGUCAGGAAGCAAGAGUUAGAACUGGACAUGGAACAACAGACUGGUUCCAAAUAGGAAAAGGAGUACGUCAAGGCUGUAUAUUAUCACCCUGUUUAUUUA